Molecule: long non-coding RNA, 1299 nt
Organism: Monodelphis domestica (gray short-tailed opossum)
Lineage: Eukaryota; Metazoa; Chordata; Mammalia; Didelphimorphia; Didelphidae
Source: RefSeq, a predicted model, not a curated record
UUCUUUGUUGUUCAGUCAUUCAGUCUUGUCUAAUCCUUCAUGAGCCACACACCACAGCAUGCCGGGUUCCUCUAGCAUUUACAAUCUCUUGAAGAGAAAGAAUAAGAAUCUUCUUCUUCUUCUGGGCUAUCUGAAUGAGCAAGGUCGGUUUAUUAGAGCAGCUAUGUUGUCCGGGGGUAAGAGUGAUAUACUUGGACUCAAGACGAUCUGAAUUUGAAUCCUUCCUCAGAAACUUCAUAGUGUUGUGAUUUUGGGGAAUUCAUUUUCUCAGUUUCCAAUUCCAUAAUUAUGAAGUGAGAAUAAUAAUAUCUUUUCCCAGGGUAGUUGUGGGUAUAAAAUGAGAUAACAUAUUUAUAACAUUCUGCAAACCUUAUUUAGAUUGUUAUAAAAAAAUCUAGUUAUGAUUAUGAUUAUUUAGGGUCUGAGGAAAGCUAACAUUGAAACAUUAUUGAAACAAAAGCAACCAGUUUCCCCUGCUACAAUCAUCUCCCACUUUCACUUCUACUCACCCCAUUCAAGAGCCUCAUUCAUAAAAGAGCUGGAGCUUUGCUUCUUGGAGAGGGAUUGGUCCUUAUAUAAACCAAUCCUGUUCCUGGAAGUAUGGGGGCGUGGUUUCUCUCUAGCACGGGAUUGGACCAUUCAGGACUAAUCCCACACCAGGAAAUAGCGUGGAGGGAGCCCUGGGGCAUUCCGGAAAAUGCAGUCCCUGGCCAGGAUACAUUUAAAAAUCAACAGGUCCAGCUCUUCUAAUGAUAAAACAAAAGAGAUCUUUGAAGAUUCGAAGGUUUUAAAAGUUAUUGGAUAUGAAGUCUUUCAUCAGUUUCCCAGGCAAAUCCCAGAUCAACUGAAAGAAGAGUCUAAAUUGGGAGCCAGGGAAGAAUGUCACAGGUUCACAGCUCCACAAGGAAGCCAUCAAAGAAAUGAUAUGUCCUAAGAGAACUUCUUGAGUACUCCAUGAAUAGUCAAAAGGAAUCAUAGAGAUCAGGAACUCUGAGUGACCCCUUGCCAAAAUUGUUCUCUAAGACUGAGUUCUCUUUCUCCUGGAUCUUGUAUUGUUUAGUGGGUCAUUUGUUCUUAUUGUACAACUUUAGAAAAUAUCCCUAUCUAGAUGAUACUAAAUGGAUAAUCUAUAGGGAAAAGCAUAUUAGUGGGGACAGCCGGUAUUAGAGAAUGAUCUUUCUCCAACUCCUCAGGGAUACCCCUAGUAUGUAGAAAGACUUAUGCAUAGCCUUACUCAAGGACUCAAUUUAUUCAUAUUAGUGGGAUUUGAAUAAGCAUUAUUAAGAGAUUAUUUGGUUA